Molecule: non-coding RNA, 87 nt
Organism: Canis lupus familiaris (dog)
Lineage: Eukaryota; Metazoa; Chordata; Mammalia; Carnivora; Canidae
Source: Rfam
AGGGAGGCCAGAUCCUGGGCUGUGUCCCGGCGUCCAGUGCUCCGGGGCCUGCGCUGGUGGAUUCCCGCUCCCGCCCUUCAGCCCCCU